RNAcentral lists this ribosomal RNA (541 nucleotides) under uncultured bacterium. RNAcentral's name for it is "bacterial SSU rRNA". It matches the Rfam family "Bacterial small subunit ribosomal RNA", at positions 135 to 671 of the family's 1533-position model. The record is from RNAcentral.
CAUGGGGGAUAACGUAGCGAAAGUUACGCUAAUACCGCAUAUGCCCUGAGGGGGAAAGGUGGGGAUCGCAAGACCUAUCGUUUUCGGAGUGGCCGAUAUCAGAUUAGCUAGUUGGUGGGGUAAAGGCCCACCAAGGCGACGAUCUGUAGCGGGUCUGAGAGGAUGAUCCGCCACACUGGGACUGAGACACGGCCCAGACUCCUACGGGAGGCAGCAGUGGGGAAUUUUGGACAAUGGGCGCAAGCCUGAUCCAGCCAUGCCGCGUGAGUGAAGAAGGCCUUCGGGUUGUAAAGCUCUUUCGGCCGGGAAAAAAUCGCUUGGGUUAAUACCCUGAGUGGAUGAUGGUACCGGAAUAAGAAGCACCGGCUAACUACGUGCCAGCAGCCGCGGUAAUACGUAGGGUGCGAGCGUUAAUCGGAAUUACUGGGCGUAAAGCGUGCGCAGGCGGCUAUACAAGACAGGCGUGAAAUCCCCGAGCUUAACCUGGGAACUGCGUUUGUGGCUGUAUGGCUAGAGUACGGCAGAGGGGGGUGGAAUUCCA